UUGAGGGAAUAAGGUCUCCGGAGCUAAAUUCUAGGUUUCCACGAUGUUUAGAGCCUUAACAGAGUCCCUGGGGAGGGUCCGGGCUUCGAGCGGCUGUGUGGGAGGGGCACUGUGUGUAUGGGGGCAGUGGUGCAGGAAGACAUGGCCAAGACUCACGAGGAGGCAGCUGGGAGGCAACCGAAGUGAAGCAGGAGCGAGCUGAACCCUGCCAAGUAGCGGUAGGAGAGACGGGAGUUGGAUUUUGGGAAGUAAACUAAUUUCUUCAUCUCUGCAGCUCUUUAGGCCAUGAAAUGCCCCCUCCCCCAUCUGUAAGUGUCCUUGGAGCGGUGGGAGCAGGGGUCUCCGCCGCGCUGGGGGCUGCCUAUUCUGAAGAGGCCUGCUGGGCUUGCCUAGGACAGGUUCAGAGUAACAAGUAUGAGGAUGAUGUCUUCUGAGUAGUUAGAUUUAUUGAAUAUUUACUCUGUGCCAGACGCUAUUCCAAGGGCUCCAUGGACCUUCACGACAACUCACGGAACCGAUGUUACCAUCCCGAGGAUAGAGUUUGUCCUGAUCCAAGUCACAUUAAAUCAUAUUCAACUGAUUUCCUACCCAUAUGUGACACGUGGAGUAACCUUAGAGAGAGGUCCCCAUUGCCCCUGGAACAGAUGCUCUACGGCGGCCUAAGCAUGGAAAAGGAGAUUGAAGACAGAUGGAAGAGAAGAUUAUAUUGUCAGACACGGUUACGGUACUUAAAAAUAAAAAAAGAAUCAGUAAGCUCCCAGACACUUGGAGCCUGAUUUGCACCAUUGCCACACCCCAAGGACCCCAAGGACUUGUGGCUGGAGAAGUGUAAACACCAGACAGAGCACCAGGUCCUGUCUGAAACCAGCCUUUUGGCCUCCCACUCAGUGUCCCCUAAGGUAAUCCCCACUGUCAUGAAGGCCAAAGGCGCCAGCCCCACCCUCCCCCAACGCAAACUGUCCUGUUCCUCGGGCCUUUCACCAAGCGGCUCCCUAUGCCUCCUCUAGAAUGCUUCCCUGUCUCCUCUCCACACAGGCAAAUCUUGUCUGCUUUCAGGGUCCUGUUCAAAUGCCAGCCAACUUAAGUCUAGGCCCUGAUAUUCACCCCCAUUGAGUAAGUGUCUUAAAACAUAUACUUUCAUUCACAUUAAGGCAUUUGUGUCUCUUGAUACAAGGCAGUUAUCCUCACCCUUUACUCCUGAGGAAACAGGACUUCGGAUAGGUUACAUGUUCGGGUCACAGAGCAACUGUGAGAACCUGGGAUCUGUGGGACUUGGAUUUGCUGACUGCAGGUCAGAAAUCCUUCAGAAUCCCGCUAAAUCCUACCCCUCCCCUCCCAGAAGACAUUGUCUCCUAGAGAACCGCCCUCCCCUUUUGUCACAAUCUGACUGCAGGGAUUUCUAUGUUUUACUCGCCAUCUUGGCCACAUCUGGGUACCCUCAAUAGUGUUGAUAUUUUUCUUCAGUGCAUUUUUCUUCACAGAAAGAAGCAUAUCUGAGAAGGAAACUAAAUGUCAGUGUGAUAAAUUAAAAAUUGCUUGUUACUGGGGUGCCGGGCUGGCUCAGUCAGAAGAGCAUCCAAUUCUUGAUCUCAGGGUUGUGAAUUUGAGCCCCACAUUGGGUGUAGAGAUUACUUAAACAAAUAAGACUUUAAAAAUAAGAAAAUUGCUAGUUAUAAGUGUAAAAAUAAAUACAAGGCAAAAGUAACUCUAAAUGGUUCAAAGACCUAACACUAUAAACUUUUAGAAGAAAACUUAGGGGUAAAUCUUCAUGACCUUGGAUUUGGCAAUGGUUUCUUAGAUAUAAUACCAAAAAUACAAGCAACAAAAGAAAAAAAAUAGGUAAAUUGGACUUCAUCAAAUUAAAAAACUUUUGUAGGGCGCCUGGGUGGCUCAGUUGGUUAAGCGACUGCCUUCGGCUCAGGUCAUGAUCCUGGAGUCCCUGGAUCGAGUCCCGCAUCGGGCUCCCUGCUCGGCAGGGAGUCUGCUUCUCCCUCUGACCCUCCCCCAUCUCAUGCUCUCUCUAUCUCAUUCUCUCUCUCAAAUAAAUAAAUAAAAUCUUUAAAAAAAAAACCAAAAAACUUUUGUACAUCAAAGGAAACUGUCAAGAAAGUAAAGACAACCACAGAAUGGGAGAAGAAACUUUAGCAAACCAUGUAUCUGAUAAAGCACUAGUACCCAGCAUAUAUAAAAAACUGUAGGGGCGCCCGGGUGGUUCAGUCG
Mirounga angustirostris (Northern elephant seal) is the source of this 2220-nucleotide long non-coding RNA. RefSeq lists it as uncharacterized. The record is from RefSeq and is a predicted model, not a curated record. Lineage: Eukaryota; Metazoa; Chordata; Mammalia; Carnivora; Phocidae. The transcript has 3 exons.